Molecule: long non-coding RNA, 2239 nt
Organism: Manis javanica (Malayan pangolin)
Lineage: Eukaryota; Metazoa; Chordata; Mammalia; Pholidota; Manidae
Source: RefSeq, a predicted model, not a curated record
AGAGAGGGUGGUAGUGGCCAGGGAUCCUGCUCAGGAGGGUCCCCCCAGGAUGGGCUCAGGGAAGUAACUCUGGCAGGUGGGAUGGAUCAAGAGCAAUGUCCACCGGGAGCCCCCAGGACCCACUCCCGGUGCAGCAGUGAGAGGGUAGCUGUGCAGGCGGGGGCUGCCUCUCCUUGAACCGCUGGAGGAUCCCUCUCGCCGGCAGGCCCUGUCCUGAGUGUGCAGCCCACGGGCAGGCCCCGGCCUCGGAGGGCUAACACCUGAGAGCCGCUCUGGAACCGGUGCCCCUUCUCUCCUCCUCCAGCCCAAGGGGGUGGGCGGCGCGCGAGAAAGCGGAGGAGCGCAGGAAGCCGCGGGGAGCUUCCCCUUUAAGAGCUCUUAUGGCCGCCGCCCAGGCCCGGGCGCCCGGGGGAGGGAAGAUGUCGAGAAAGAUUCCCCGCGAACUUCCCCAGCCUUUGUUCGGGCGGAGGCCGAGGCCGGAGACCGACCGGGCGGGCGCAGGGCCGAGCGCUCCGGUGGCGGCCGUGGCGCGAUCCCCGGCCCGGGGCGCCCCCUCCCGGGCCCGGCCGCUGACCCCCGGCCCGGGCCCGCAUCCCCGGCGCGGCCGCGGCGGCGCCCUUACCAGCUCGUCCCGGGAUCCCUGCGGAGCUGGCGGGCGGCAGCCGCGGUCAAGUUCAUGUCCGGCCCACGGGCUGUCCGAGGUCAUGUGCCAUGUGCAAAACAGGAGAAUUUGCUGACCUUGCCCCGGUCCUGGAAAAUCGGGCCUCCUCUUCUCAGGAGCUCCCCAACUGCUGCCUGCCAUGUUCUGCCCGGCUUCGAACCCCUCCAGGCCAGAGUCCUGGGGUCACGUCUGGGUAGGGGGAGGCACCCAAGUGGCCCUGGGCCUGGGAACCUGUGGCGCUGCCAAGCCCAGUCCCUGUAAGGGCCCUGUGAGCUGGAACGGGAGACUCAGGGGCACCGGGUACCCAGCUGCCCAUCUGCCUUGGGACGCUCCUGCACUGCCCUGUUCACCCUUUUCUGCAAGAUGUGCUCACGGAGAACACACUCAGGCCAGCUGGCUAAUCCAGCGCCCUGUGUACAACAGGGAGAGGGUAUUGUUUGUAUUUUUCAAAAAAAAUGAUCAGGGUUGGGGGAAUAUGUUAUCCCUUGUCCCCAAAAGUGGGUGGUGCUUCAGAGUGCUGGAGCCCUUCCUGCAAUACUCUCCAAAUGACUUCUCAAAUGUGCUCUUUUCUGGAAUCAGUGCUGGACAUCCACAUGUGGUUCAUGGAGGAGGAGGAUCGCACCCUCCUCCACCUGGACACUGCCUGAACUUGACACUGGGCUGAGGACAUAGAGGUGGUGGAGGUGGUCAGAUUGUGCCUGGGGCUAGCUGGGGCAGUUUACAGAGCUGCAGACACUGGUCAGCUUACAUACCUAGGCUGCCAAUUGGUCCCUACUGACCACAUUUGGCCUCAUCUGGGGAGAAUAUCCACCUGCCACUGAUGCCCAAGAUCCUUUGCCAGAGUGGUGGAAGGAACUUUCUUAUUGUUUUUUCACAGGAGCAAGCAUGGACAUCAGCUUCUCUUAUUUCUCUCCAGGACUGAGGGUCAGCCAUGGGCACUCCAGCAAAGCAACUGGAGUUCCAUCAAAGCUCGGUGCCAGACUGUGACAUUUCACCAAAACUCGCAGCAGCCAUCCCUCGCUUUCCAUGAAGGCUCCCUAUGCAGAGAGGCCUGGCUCUUUCAGGGAAGUGAAGCCUGCUCUCUCCCAUGGUCUUCUCCCUGAGGGACUCCAUUCCUGAGCUGCAACCACUGCAUUUUUAGGACUGGAAAAUGUGUCACGAGCUGUACAUCUUCCUAAAGCCUGAACCUAUAUACUUUCAUGUGGCCACUGGUGCUCAGUGUGUCCCCAAAGGGGAUGUCACCCUAGUUCCAUCAAAACCCAUCAAGACCUUGCCUGGGCUGGCUUCCUAGAUGUAUGGCCUCUGUGUCACCCUGUGUUUAUUGCACUGCUGUCUUCAUCUUGAAAUUCCAAAUAAUUUUUGAACAAGGGCCCUACAUUUCCAUUUUGUCCUGGGCCCCCCAAAUUAUGUAUUUUUGCCUCGAGUUAUAACAGUGUCAUAAAGUAAAAACAAAACAAAACAAAAAACCUGACUUUUAUAUUUCCCUUAUGCAAUUCUCCUUAUAGAAAUAAUUCCUGAUUCUAUGCAAAUAAGAUAAAAAUAUUUUCAUUGAAGAUCAUUGUAUUUAGGACAGAUGUU